Molecule: ribosomal RNA, 402 nt
Filed under: uncultured bacterium
Lineage: Bacteria
Description: partial 16S ribosomal RNA
Rfam family: Bacterial small subunit ribosomal RNA
Source: RNAcentral
CCUACGGGAGGCAGCAGUAGGGAAUCUUGCGCAAUGGGCGAAAGCCUGACGCAGCGACGCCGCGUGAGUGAUGAAGGUCUUCGGAUCGUAAACUUCUGUUAUCAGGGAAGAACGGUCAUUGUACUAAUUGACUGUCAAUUGACGGUACCUGCUAAGAAAGCACCGGCUAACUCCGUGCCAGCAGCCGCGGUAAUACGGAGGGGGCAAGCGUUAACCGGAAUUAUUGGGCGUAAAGCGCUCGCAGGCGGUAUGUUAAGUCAGAGGUGAAAUCCCACGGCUUAACGGGGGAAGGGCAUUGGAAACUGGUUGACUGGAGUGUAGGAGAGGGUAGUGGAAUUCCAGGUGUAGGGGUGAAAUCCGUAGAGAUAUGGAGGAACAUCAGUGGCGAAGGCGGCUAUCUGG